AGCCGAAACGGUCAGUAAUGACCGUCUACCGGAAAUGACCGCCCGGUACUGAUGAUGGUAGGUCAAA
Molecule: non-coding RNA, 67 nt
Filed under: Agathobacter rectalis
Lineage: Bacteria; Bacillati; Bacillota; Clostridia; Lachnospirales; Lachnospiraceae
Source: RNAcentral